Molecule: ribosomal RNA, 253 nt
Filed under: uncultured bacterium
Lineage: Bacteria
Description: partial 16S ribosomal RNA
Rfam family: Bacterial small subunit ribosomal RNA
Source: RNAcentral
UACAGAGGGGGCAAGCGUUAUUCGGAAUUAUUGGGCGUAAAGGGCGCGUAGGCGGCUUUGCAAGUGACGGGUGAAAUCCCUCGGCUUAACCGAGGAACUGCCUGUCAGACUGCAUGGCUUGAGACCAGGAGAGGUGAGUGGAAUUCCCAGUGUAGCGGUGAAAUGCGUAGAUAUUGGGAGGAACACCAGUGGCGAAGGCGGCUCACUGGACUGGUACUGACGCUGAGGCGCGAAAGCGUGGGGAGCAAGCCGG